UACGUAGGGGGCUAGCGUUGUCCGGAAUCAUUGGGCGUAAAGCGCGCGUAGGCGGCCCUGUUAGUCCGCUGUAAAAGUCAAAGGCUCAACCUUUGAAUGCCGGUGGAUACUGCAGGGCUAGAGUCCGGAAGAGGCGAGUGGAAUUCCUGGUGUAGCGGUGGAAUGCGCAGAUAUCAGGAGGAACACCGGUGGCGAAAGGCGGUUCUCUGGGCCUGUACUGACGCUGGAGGAACGAAAGCGUGGGGAGCGAACGG
RNAcentral lists this ribosomal RNA (254 nucleotides) under uncultured bacterium. Its description in RNAcentral is "partial 16S ribosomal RNA". It matches the Rfam family "Bacterial small subunit ribosomal RNA", at positions 524 to 775 of the family's 1533-position model. The record is from RNAcentral.